UGGUGGGGUGACUGCGUACCUUUUGUAUAAUGGGUCAGCGACUUAUAUUCUGUAGCAAGGUUAACCGUAUAGGGGAGCCGGAGGGAAACCGAGUCUUAAUUGGGCGUUAAGUUGCAGGGUAUAGACCCGAAACCCGGUGAUCUAGCCAUGGGCAGGUUGAAGGUUGGGUAACACUAACUGGAGGACCGAACCGACUAAUGUUGAAAAAUUAGCGGAUGACCUGUGGCUGGGGGUGAAAGGCCAAUCAAACCGGGAGAUAGCUGGUUCUCCCCGAAAGCUAUUUAGGUAGCGCCUCGUGAAUUCAUCUCCGGGGGUAGAGCACUGUUUCGGCUAGGGGGCCAUCCCGGCUUACCAACCCGAUGCAAACUGCGAAUACCGGAGAAUGUUAUCACGGGAGACACACGGCGGGUGCUAACGUCCGUCGUGAAGAGGGAAACAACCCAGACCGCCAGCUAAGGUCCCAAAGUCAUGGUUAAGUGGGAAACGAUGUGGGAAGGCCCAGACAGCCAGGAUGUUGGCUUAGAAGCAGCCAUCAUUUAAAGAAAGCGUAAUAGCUCACUGGUCGAGUCGGCCUGCGCGGAAGAUGUAACGGGGCUAAACCAUG
RNAcentral lists this ribosomal RNA (604 nucleotides) under Salmonella enterica subsp. enterica serovar Durban. RNAcentral describes it as "partial 23S ribosomal RNA". It matches the Rfam family "Bacterial large subunit ribosomal RNA", at positions 586 to 1191 of the family's 2925-position model. Lineage: Bacteria; Pseudomonadati; Pseudomonadota; Gammaproteobacteria; Enterobacterales; Enterobacteriaceae. The record is from RNAcentral.